AUGUUGAGGGCGUGUGGUAGUGAGGGCGUAUUGAUUUGCGUGGUAGUGAGGGCGAGCAGUGGCUUCACUACCAGUCAGUUGUCCACCUUCACAGGGCCUGAGUCAGGGUUCGAUGGUUCCUCCGUGCUGGGCUCUACCCAGGGGUCAACAGGCUCUACCCAGGGGUCAACAGGCUCUGCCCUGGGGUCAACAGGCUCUGCCCUGAGGUCAACAAACUCUACCCUGGGGUCAACAGACUCUACCCUGGGGUCAACAGACUCUGCCCUGGGGUCAACAGGCUCUACCCUGGGGUCAACAGGCUCUGCCCUGGGGUCAACAGGCUCUACCCUGGGGUCAACAGGCUCUGCCCUGGGGUCAACAGGCUCUGCCCUGGGGUCAACUAACUCUACCCUGGGGUCAACAGGCUCUGCCCUGGGGUCAACUAACUCUACCCUGGGGUCAACAGACUCUACCCUGGGGUCAACAAACUCUACCCUGGGGUCAACAGACUCUGCCCUGGGGUCAACAGGCUCUACCCUGGGGUCAACAGGCUCUACCCUGGGGUCAACAGGCUCUGCCCUGGGGUCAACAGGCUCUGCCCUGGGGUCAACAAACUCUGCCCUGGGGUCAACAGGCUCUGCCCUGGGGUUAACAAACUCUGCCCUGGGGUCAACAGGCUCUGCCCUGGGGUUAACAGGCUCUGCCCUGGGGUCAACAGGCUCUGCCCUGGGGUCAACAGACUCUGCCCUGGGGUCAACAGACUCUACCCUGGGGUCAACAGGCUCUGCCCUGGGGUCAACAGGCUCUGCCCUGGGGUCAACAGGAUCUGAUGGAGACCACACUCCUCUCACUCCACUGUCCUCCUCCUCUCCAUUCACUAUCUUCUCCCACUGGCCAAGGUUCUCCCUGUGGAAACACAAUCAUACUAUGGUCAAACGGCCAGUAGGAAGAGUGUGUGUGUGUGCUCGUGUUCACGUGAGGUAUGUUUUAUUAGUGAACACACUGUACGUUCAUUACUCUCCUCCUGCGAUGCUUCUGCCUAACCCACCGGCU
RNAcentral lists this long non-coding RNA (1032 nucleotides) under Salmo trutta (river trout). RNAcentral describes it as "lncRNA (ENSSTUG00000049634.1)". The record is from RNAcentral. Lineage: Eukaryota; Metazoa; Chordata; Actinopteri; Salmoniformes; Salmonidae.